RNAcentral lists this long non-coding RNA (398 nucleotides) under Setaria viridis. RNAcentral's name for it is "long non-coding RNA (SVIR_LNC003709)". Lineage: Eukaryota; Viridiplantae; Streptophyta; Magnoliopsida; Poales; Poaceae. The record is from RNAcentral.
GAGACUUUAAAUUUUGCAGUGUUAUGAACAAAUCUAUACUAUCACUCAUGUAUAAGAAGAAAAAGAUACUUAAAAUGUCCAUCCUAACUUAACUCCUGGGCUCUAUCAACCAACCUUAAUCCGAUUGUUUGACAAAUUCUUUCUUUUUCCUGAAAAAAACUUAUUUGAAAAAUUCAAUCGUUGAAAACGUGCAAAUACCCUAUAGUUUUUGGGCCUGUUUGGGAAGGAGGUGUUAAAGUUUAACACCACCCUUUAACACAUUUUUAACACCUUGGCUGCCAAACACAAGUGUUAAAGAUGAAGUGUUAAAAUUUAACACCUCUCUUUUCAUAAACAUAUGGAGGGGGUGUUAAAAUGUGCUAAAGGUGUUAAAAGUGGUCCCCCUCCACACUUAUUCC